CCUGGCUCAGGAUGAACGCUGGCGGCGUGCUUAACACAUGCAAGUCGAACGUGAGGGUGUAGCAAUAUGCCUGAAAGUGGCGAACGGGUGAGUAACACGUAGAUGACCUGCCCUGGAGUGGGGGGAUAACCAUUGGAAACGGUGGCUAAUACCGCAUACAUCCAUAUAUCUGGGAAGAGAUGUGGGGAAAGCUCUGGUGCUCUGGGAGGGGUCUGCGUCCGAUUAGCUAGUUGGCGAGGUAAAGGCUCACCAAGGCGACGAUCGGUAGCUGGUCUGAGAGGACGAUCAGCCACACGGGAACUGAGACACGGUCCCGACUCCUACGGGGGGCAGCAGUGAGGAAUAUUGGGCAAUGGGCGAGAGCCUGACCCAGCAACGCCGCGUGGAGGAAGACGGCCUUCGGGUUGUAAACUCCUUUUGACAGGGAAGAGAGAGGACGGUACCUGUCGAAUAAGUCACGGCUAACUACGUGCCAGCAGCCGCGGUAAUACGUAGGUGACAAGCGUUAUCCGG
Molecule: ribosomal RNA, 513 nt
Filed under: uncultured bacterium
Lineage: Bacteria
Description: bacterial SSU rRNA
Rfam family: Bacterial small subunit ribosomal RNA
Source: RNAcentral